This 447-nucleotide ribosomal RNA is filed under the name uncultured bacterium. Its description in RNAcentral is "bacterial SSU rRNA". It matches the Rfam family "Bacterial small subunit ribosomal RNA", at positions 329 to 792 of the family's 1533-position model. The record is from RNAcentral.
CACCAGACUCCUACGGGAGGCAGCAGUGGGGGAUAUUGCACAAUGGGGGGAACCCUGAUGCAGCGACGCCGCGUGGGUGAAGGAGUGCUUCGGCAUGUAAAGCCCUAUCGGCAGGGAAGAAGCAAGACGGUACCUGGGGAGGAAGCUCCGGCUAACUACGUGCCAGCAGCCGCGGUAAUACGUAGGGGGCAAGCGUUAUCCGGAUUCACUGGGUGUAAAGGGAGCGUAGACGGCCAUGCAAGCCUGGAGUGAAAGCCCGGGGCCCAACCCCGGGACUGCUCUGGGAACUGUGCGGCUGGAGUGCGGGAGGGGCAGGCGGAAUUCCUGGUGUAGCGGUGAAAUGCGUAGAUAUCAGGAGGAACACCGGCGGCGAAGGCGGCCUGCUGGACCGCGACUGACGUUGAGGCUCGAAAGCGUGGGGAGCGAACAGGAUUAGAUACCCUAGUA